GGAGGCAUAGCUCAGUUGGUUAGAGCGCUUGCUUGACAUGCAAGAGGUCAUAGGUUCAACUCCUAUUGUCUCCACCA
RNAcentral lists this transfer RNA (77 nucleotides) under Clostridia bacterium. RNAcentral describes it as "tRNA-Val". It matches the Rfam family "tRNA". From Rfam's summary of the family: Transfer RNA (tRNA) molecules are approximately 80 nucleotides in length. RNAcentral also lists the same sequence under 1 other name. Lineage: Bacteria; Bacillati; Bacillota; Clostridia. The record is from RNAcentral.